RNAcentral lists this transfer RNA (53 nucleotides) under Parachtes teruelis. RNAcentral describes it as "tRNA-Cys". Lineage: Eukaryota; Metazoa; Arthropoda; Arachnida; Araneae; Dysderidae. The record is from RNAcentral.
ACUAAUAUAAUUUAAUAAUAUCAAACUGCAAGUUUGAAUAUCCUCUAUUUAAA